UCUGGCGCGUGCUAUACAUGCAAGUCGAGCGAACAGACGAGGAGCUUGCUCCUCUGACGUUAGCGGCGGACGGGUGAGUAACACGUGGAUAACCUACCUAUAAGACUGGGAUAACUUCGGGAAACCGGAGCUAAUACCGGAUAAUAUAUUGAACCGCAUGGUUCAAUAGUGAAAGACGGUUUUGCUGUCACUUAUAGAUGGAUCCGCGCCGCAUUAGCUAGUUGGUAAGGUAACGGCUUACCAAGGCAACGAUGCGUAGCCGACCUGAGAGGGUGAUCGGCCACACUGGAACUGAGACACGGUCCAGACUCCUACGGGAGGCAGCAGUAGGGAAUCUUCCGCAAUGGGCGAAAGCCUGACGGAGCAACGCCGCGUGAGUGAUGAAGGUCUUCGGAUCGUAAAACUCUGUUAUUAGGGAAGAACAAAUGUGUAAGUAACUAUGCACGUCUUGACGGUACCUAAUCAGAAAGCCACGGCUAACUACGUGCCAGCAGCCGCGGUAAUACGUAGGUGGCAAGCGUUAUCCGGAAUUAUUGGGCGUAAAGCGCGCGUAGGCGGUUUUUUAAGUCUGAUGUGAAAGCCCACGGCUCAACCGUGGAGGGUCAUUGGAAACUGGAAAACUUGAGUGCAGAAGAGGAAAGUGGAAUUCCAUGUGUAGCGGUGAAAUGCGCAGAGAUAUGGAGGAACACCAGUGGCGAAGGCGACUUUCUGGUCUGUAACUGACGCUGAUGUGCGAAAGCGUGGGGAUCAAACAGGAUUAGAUACCCUGGUAGUCCACGCCGUAAACGAUGAGUGCUAAGUGUUAGGGGGUUUCCGCCCCUUAGUGCUGCAGCUAACGCAUUAAGCACUCCGCCUGGGGAGUACGACCGCAAGGUUGAAACUCAAAGGAAUUGACGGGGACCCGCACAAGCGGUGGAGCAUGUGGUUUAAUUCGAAGCAACGCGAAGAACCUUACCAAAUCUUGACAUCCUCUGACCCCUCUAGAGAUAGAGUUUUCCCCUUCGGGGGACAGAGUGACAGGUGGUGCAUGGUUGUCGUCAGCUCGUGUCGUGAGAUGUUGGGUUAAGUCCCGCAACGAGCGCAACCCUUAAGCUUAGUUGCCAUCAUUAAGUUGGGCACUCUAAGUUGACUGCCGGUGACAAACCGGAGGAAGGUGGGGAUGACGUCAAAUCAUCAUGCCCCUUAUGAUUUGGGCUACACA
RNAcentral lists this ribosomal RNA (1201 nucleotides) under Staphylococcus epidermidis. RNAcentral describes it as "bacterial SSU rRNA". It matches the Rfam family "Bacterial small subunit ribosomal RNA", at positions 35 to 1220 of the family's 1533-position model. The record is from RNAcentral. Lineage: Bacteria; Bacillati; Bacillota; Bacilli; Caryophanales; Staphylococcaceae.